GGGAGAGCGAGGGAACCGGGAGCGAAAGCAGGAAAAGGGCGCAGCCGUGGCGAGAGCGAGGGGCGGCCGUGCGAGCAAAGGCACGCAAGAAGCGGAGACGCGGGAGAGAUGACCUAAAUCGCGUAAGGACCUUUUGAGAUAUAAAGGACAAUGGCUGGACCAGGAAAAAUGCAAACCACCAAGCUAUGGGAGAAACUUCUAACUGCAGCAGGAAUGGGGCAGGUCUCACUUCAGGAUUCUUCCAGUCUUGUUCCAUGCUGGUUUGUCUGGACCCUUUCCACACAUCCAUUUUGGGUAUUUCUCAAAGAAAAAUAAUGUGGAAUUUAAAAAAGGGACAGACACCAAGGGAGAAAUAGCUCUACAAAGAAGCAGGUUCUGCCACAAUUGUGCAACUAGCUAAGUUCUUAGAGCAGAAGAAGUGAAACUGAUUAAAUGCUAGGCAACCCUUCUCCAGGAGAGAAGAAAGAAAUGGAUGAAAUUGAUGGAUUUAAGAAAAAUGGCAAAAACACAACAAAAGGCCACUUCUGUAUCAAUUCUUCUUGAAGAGGGGUUGCUGUAUCUUAAGACCAAAACAUGUUUUAGAAUACUAUUAAAGUGAGAUAAAAAAAAAAAAA
Crotalus tigris (Tiger rattlesnake) is the source of this 614-nucleotide long non-coding RNA. RefSeq lists it as uncharacterized. Lineage: Eukaryota; Metazoa; Chordata; Lepidosauria; Squamata; Viperidae. The record is from RefSeq and is a predicted model, not a curated record. The transcript is spliced from 3 exons.